GCCUGGGUGGCUCAGUCGGUUAAGCAUCUGACUUCGGCUCAGGUCAUGAUCUCACAGUUUGUGAGUUCGAGCCCCACUCCAGGAU
RNAcentral lists this transfer RNA (85 nucleotides) under Felis catus (domestic cat). It matches the Rfam family "tRNA". Rfam says of the family: Transfer RNA (tRNA) molecules are approximately 80 nucleotides in length. Their secondary structure includes four short double-helical elements and three loops (D, anti-codon, and T loops). Further hydrogen bonds mediate the characteristic L-shaped molecular structure. tRNAs have two regions of fundamental functional importance: the anti-codon, which is responsible for specific mRNA codon recognition, and the 3' end, to which the tRNAs corresponding amino acid is attached (by aminoacyl-tRNA synthetases). tRNAs cope with the degeneracy of the genetic code in two manners: having more than one tRNA (with a specific anti-codon) for a particular amino acid; and 'wobble' base-pairing, i.e. permitting non-standard base-pairing at the 3rd anti-codon position. The record is from Rfam by way of RNAcentral. Lineage: Eukaryota; Metazoa; Chordata; Mammalia; Carnivora; Felidae.